Molecule: unclassified non-coding RNA, 168 nt
Filed under: Lasmenia sp. LMS-2011a
Lineage: Eukaryota; Fungi; Ascomycota; Sordariomycetes; Diaporthales; Apoharknessiaceae
Description: internal transcriber spacer 2
Source: RNAcentral
CGUCAUUUCAACCCCUCCGGACACCCCGCGCCCUCGUGGUGCGUGUGUGUGCUCCGGGUGUUGGGGCACUGCCGUGCUUUGUGCUUUGGCACGACGGCAGGCCCUCAAAUGCAGUGGCGAGCCCGCUGGCACACCUCCGAGCGCAGUAACCUACACCUCUCGCUUCUG